Molecule: ribosomal RNA, 369 nt
Filed under: Cryptocercus chengkouensis
Lineage: Eukaryota; Metazoa; Arthropoda; Insecta; Blattodea; Cryptocercidae
Description: partial 16S large subunit ribosomal RNA
Source: RNAcentral
CUCUUCUUGGAUAUAUUUUGAUGUAUGGCCUGCCCACUGAAUAUUGAAGGGCCGCGGUAUUUUGACCGUGCAAAGGUAGCAUAAUCAUUAGUCUUUUAAUUGUAGGCUGGAAUGAAUGGUUUGACGAAGUGUUAACUGUCUUUAAUUUUUUUUUAUUGAAUUUAAAUUUUAGGUUAAAAUGCCUAAAUAUUUUUUUGGGACGAGAAGACCCUAUAGAGUUUUAUAUAUUUUUAUUUUUUUGUGUGUAAUUUUUUGAUGUAAAAAUUUAUUUUGUUGGGGUGAUGGGAAGAUUGAAUUAACUCUUUUUGUUUAAUUAUAUUUAUUUAUAUGUAUUUGAUCCAUUUUUAUUGAUUAUAAGACUAAAUUACC